AGAGUUUGAUCCUGGCUCAGGACGAACGCUGGCGGCGCGCCUAAUACAUGCAAGUCGAGCGAGAACCAGGGCUUCGGCCCUGGGGAGAGCGGCGAACGGGUGCGUAUCACGUGAGCAACCUGCCUCGGAGACCGGAAUAACUCGAGGAAACUCGGGCUAAUGCCGGAUGCCCUCGGUGGACCGCAUGGUCCGGCGAGGAAAUGGAUUCCGCUCCGAGAUGGGCUCGCGGCCUAUCAGCUUGUUGGUGGGGUAACGGCCUACCAAGGCGACGACGGGUAGCUGGUCUGAGAGGACGAUCAGCCACACUGGGACUGAGACACGGCCCAGACUCCUACGGGAGGCAGCAGUAGGGAAUCUUGCGCAAUGGGGGAAACCCUGACGCAGCGACGCCGCGUGCGGGAUGAAGGCCUUCGGGUCGUAAACCGCUUUCAGCAGGGACGAAAUUGACGGUACCUGCAGAAGAAGGCCCGGCCAACUACGUGCCAGCAGCCGCGGUGAUACGUAGGGGUCUAGCGUUGUCCGGAAUUAUUGGGCGUAAAGAGCUCGUAGGCGGUUCGGCAAGUCGGAUGUGAAAUCUCCACGCUUAACGUGGAGGGGCCAUUCGAAACUGCCGUGACUCGAGUCCGGUAGGGGAGUGCGGAAUUCCCGGUGUAGCGGUGAAAUGCGCAGAUAUCGGGAGGAACACCAGUGGCGAAGGCGGCACUCUGGGCCGGAACUGACGCUGAGGAGCGAAAGCGUGGGGAGCGAACAGGAUUAGAUACCCUAGUAGUCC
Molecule: ribosomal RNA, 772 nt
Filed under: uncultured bacterium
Lineage: Bacteria
Description: bacterial SSU rRNA
Rfam family: Bacterial small subunit ribosomal RNA
Source: RNAcentral